This is a non-coding RNA of Heterocephalus glaber (naked mole-rat), 2024 nucleotides long. The record is from RefSeq and is a predicted model, not a curated record. Lineage: Eukaryota; Metazoa; Chordata; Mammalia; Rodentia; Bathyergidae.
GUGCCCGGCCCUGCGUGGGACGUGGAUAGAAACACGUUCUGUGCCGGCGGGGUCCUAACCGGUUAAGCCUGUGCCUUGCCUUCCUUUCCUGUGCUGCGCUCAGCUUCAGUUGCCUCCCAGCCUCCCCACCGCACACGGAGCUGUCUGGGUCUUGCGUGGGGUCAGCAGCCGUUCUGCGUGUGGGCCCCGCGCCAGCCGCAAGGUGCGCGCGCUCAGGCCCCAGCUGUGGAAACGCCACGCAGCUGAGACCUUGCGCUGCAUUGAUGGAUUAAGCCCAGCGCUAAGGGGCAAGACCAUUUCCUGCUCACCUAGUUGUGGAGCUGGCACGAGACCCUGAGAACGGUGACAGUUGGGAAACCAACUUUGCUAGUUGCGCGACAGCUCCUGCAGCUCCCUGGUGUGUGGCGUGUGGUGGCCCAGCUCCUGGCCUCCCACACAAAGAGCGUUCUGUUGUUGCUCCGUAUUUGUCCAGAGGAUUUGCCAUGGCUUCAUAUUUAAUUACCACCCUGGACCCGGAGGUGGGAGGCUGCUGGCUUUGGCUUGAUGAUUAACAUAAGGAAUUGAACGCGGUUUUCCUGAGCUCAGUGUGUGUUCGCUUAGGUGACCGAGCAGGUGGGACGGGGCGACUUGGCUUGGACCAUAAACUGCUGGGCACCUGCGCUGCCUGCAGUGGCUCCGGAGAUACCAGGCUGUCGGGAACAAGAGGCCAGUCAGGGUUUUAUUGUCCUGCCCUUCUCUUCUUCCUCGCCUUGGUUCCAGUUUGGCGAAUAAUGACCUGCCCAAGAGGCGAAAAAAUAUCUCUCACCCCAAACAGGAAGGAGAGCUGACUCCCGUAGCAAAAGUAAACUUGGAAGAGAAGCCGUUACACGACUUUCCUGAGACAGUGACUGAAAGGUGAACUUUGUAAAACCCUCCACCCCACAUUCCUAGAACCCCAUGUUCUGUGGCGUAGGCGGGACGCUGGGGAAAGGCCCUGGGCACCUAAACCUGACUCUCCGUGGCUCAGUCUUAUCCCCAGCCUGAGUUUUUAGAAAUUGGCUGCUAAUGAAAGAUACAAGUGCCGGCACUGCUCAGAGCACCGUGUCUCUUGCCGGGCGUUGUGGUGCACACCUGCAGUCUCGGCACUCGGGAGGCUGAGGCAGGAGGAUCUCGAGCUGCUUCCUCCUGAAAUGCAGUGUUGGUUCCUGAAUUUGGGCAAAAGAGACGCUUGGAGAAUGUGAUCUGGUUGGACUAGAGCUAGAAAGAUGUUUUGAAGUCCUAGAUUCUGCCAGACUUACACCCUCCUUCCGUCUCGGUGCCUGCAUCUGCAAAGCAGGGAUGAGGAAACCGCUGGGCCCGCUCACCUCCUGGUGCUGCCCUAUGGAGGAGCACACUGGGGGGGGGGAUCCAUUCAAUAAGUGCCUGCUAUAUUUUUACUGUUUAAUGAAAUAAAAAUGAACGUGCCUCUUCCACAGGCUCUGUCCAUUCUUCCUCCUUUGCUGGAGUUUAUAUUUCUUAGUUGGAUUUUUUGGUAUUAAAUCUGUAAUGCCGCAGCGUGUGGUGGCACACACCUGUGAUCCCAGCACUUGGGAAUCUGAGGCAGAAGGGUGGCUGAGAGUCCAAGGCCAGUGAGAGCCCCCAUCCCCCACCCCAUCCCUUCUGUAACAUUGGGAGAGACCAUUCCUCUGGGAGUCACCGGCAUAAAGUAGAAUCUGAGGAGAGAAUCAGGACCACACCUACCAUUUCUCGAGCACUUACAAUACAUGCCAGGCCUUCCUGGGACUUACUCCUGUUGAAGUUAGGACUCCUAUGAGCCGGUUCUCUUGGGGCUGUUCACUUCACUGAUGAGGAAGCUGAGCUUGGACACGAGGUCCCCGGCCUGGGGUAAUAGUGACACAGCUGGGGCCUCCCAUAGAGCUGACCUCUGACCUCAGCCACCUUGCGUGUGAGGUAUGAGACAGUCGGAGUCACCAGGUCGAGGGGUUCUUCCCACCCCUUCAGGAUGCUGGAAACAGCAACUGUGUGGUGUACACAAAAGGAAAGGA